Felis catus (domestic cat) is the source of this 657-nucleotide long non-coding RNA. RefSeq lists it as uncharacterized. NCBI's taxonomy places the organism in Eukaryota, Metazoa, Chordata, Mammalia, Carnivora, Felidae. The record is from RefSeq and is a predicted model, not a curated record. The transcript is spliced from 3 exons.
CACACAGUGAACACUGCCAUUGUUUGCUCAUGACACUGUGAAUACUGCCAUUGGCAUGCGACCACUUCCCAGCCCUGUGACCAGUGCAAGUUUUGACCGCACCCAGUGGGAGGGCUCUUAAAUUCAGCAACCAGCCUUCUGGCAGGGACUACUUCGUGAGUUCAUGGGCAUGUGCAGUGAGAUAUAGUGAGGUCUACUAGGGGUAGAGAAGCCUACCUCAUAUUGGACAUCUGGGAACACAGGCUUCCCUGUUGCUCAUGAGGACUAGCUCAGUGUCUAUGCAGGUGCCCUGGCUUGUCCCUUGGAGUCCAUGGACCUCUAAAUUGCAUGUGACCAGGCAGAGAUUGCCCACGGAUGACCUCCUAUAUUCUGGCUUGCUGCAUGGAUAACUUCAUUGUCUUGCGUUUCUGCUUUCCUGGUAAGUCCCAGGAGGGCUAUUGGAGAUAGGCUAAGAAUAACCCAGAACUAUAGAGCAGCUGACAUAUGAUGGUCAGAACUUUGGACAAGGGGAGUUAAGAAUCCAUGGAUACAUUCUUCUCCCUUCUUUUCCCCAAGGUGACUAUUUAAAAAGAAUAAAAAUCCUUACAGACAUUUGGAAGACACACCAUAGUCUGAGCAGUCAGUCACACUUUUUUUCUUUUUCAAUGUUUAUUUACU